UUCGGGAGCUGUACAGGUGCUGCAUGGCUGUCGUCAGCUCGUGUCGUGAGAUGUUCGGUUAAGUCCGCUAACGAGCGCAACCCUCGCUGUGUGUUACAAGUGUCACACGGAACUGCCGGUCAUAAACCGGAGGAAGGUGGGGAUGACGUCAAGUCAGCAUGGCCUUUAUAUCCUGGGCUACACACACGCUACAAUGGGAAGGGACAAUAGGUUGCGAAGCCGCGAGGCGGAGCCAAUCCAGCAAAACUUCCCUCAGUUCAGAUUGCAGGCUGCAACUCGCCUGCAUGAAGUUGGAGUUGCUAGUAAACGCAGGUCAGCAUACUGCGGUGAAUACGUUCCCGGGCCUU
This 347-nucleotide ribosomal RNA is filed under the name uncultured Anaerolineaceae bacterium. Its description in RNAcentral is "bacterial SSU rRNA". It matches the Rfam family "Bacterial small subunit ribosomal RNA", at positions 1022 to 1382 of the family's 1533-position model. The record is from RNAcentral. Lineage: Bacteria; Bacillati; Chloroflexota; Anaerolineae; Anaerolineales; Anaerolineaceae.